Molecule: ribosomal RNA, 770 nt
Filed under: uncultured archaeon
Lineage: Archaea
Description: bacterial SSU rRNA
Rfam family: Archaeal small subunit ribosomal RNA
Source: RNAcentral
CUGGGGCUAAUACCCGAUAGGUGAAGAGGCCUGGAAUGGUUCUUCACCGAAAAGACGUUGAAACCAUGCUUUUCAACGUUGCCUAAGGAUGGGGCCGCGUCCGAUCAGGUUGUUGGUGGGGUAACGGCUCACCAAGCCUAUAACCGGUACGGGCCGUGAGAGCGGGAGCCCGGAGAUGGGCACUGAGACAAGGGCCCAGGCCCUACGGGGCGCAGCAGUCGCGAAAACUCCGCAAUGCGCGAAAGCGUGACGGGGCUACCCCGAGUGUCGUCCGCUGAGGAUGACUUUUCCCCGGUGUAAGGAGCCGGGGGAAUAAGGAGAGGGCAAGUCUGGUGUCAGCCGCCGCGGUAAUACCAGCUCUCCGAGUGGUAGGGACGAUUAUUGGGCUUAAAGCGUCCGUAGCCGGCCCGGCAAGUCUCCCGUUAAAUCCAGCGACCUAAUCGUUGGGCUGCAGGAGAUACUGUUGGGCUAGGGGGCGGGAGAGGCCGACGGUAUUCCCGGGGUAGGGGUGAAAUCCUAUAAUCCCGGGAGGACCACCAGUGGCGAAGGCUGUCGGCUAGAACGCGCUCGACGGUGAGGGACGAAAGCUGGGGGAGCGAACCGGAUUAGAUACCCGGGUAGUCCCAGCUGUAAACGAUGCGGGCUAGGUGUUGGGGUGGCUACGAGCCGCUUCAGUGCCGCAGGGAAGCCAUUAAGCCCGCCGCCUGGGGAGUACGGCCGCAAGGCUGAAACUUAAAGGAAUUGGCGGGGGAGCACCACAAGGCGUGAAC